This is an RNA transcript of Lotus japonicus, 961 nucleotides long. RefSeq lists it as uncharacterized. Lineage: Eukaryota; Viridiplantae; Streptophyta; Magnoliopsida; Fabales; Fabaceae. The record is from RefSeq and is a predicted model, not a curated record. The transcript has 2 exons.
CUAUCCUAUCCUGUCCACCAAACGGGCCCUAUAUGUGGUUAUCGUUGAAAAAUAUACAUUGGAAAUUUACAUAAUUGGUUAAUUAUCAUCAGGCUUCAACUUCACUACCAGGGGCGGACCCACAGCAGAGUGAGGGGUUCAGAUGAACCCCCUGAAAACAAAAAAUUCUACUUUACGCCCUUGUAUAGUUUUUUUUUGAACCCCCUGAGAAUUUUAAUUUGCACCCAUAGACCCCAGUUACUCCUCUCUCUCAUACAGACUCUCUCAGCCUCACGCCCUCACCCACUUUCUCUCGCACACUCACUACCCUAGGUCUGGUCAUCAAGCACACACGCACGACGCACUACCGGUCACCACCACGCCACGCCACCACCAGUCCAGCCGCCGACCGCGCCUCUGCGACUCUGCUUCUCUAUCUCCGUAUCUCUUAGCUCUGCUUCUCCUUUCUCUUCCACAAUCAGAGGGUUACUGGGUAAGUCCCACAUAAGGCAUAAGAGACUCAUGGGUCUGGACAAAGGAGGAAGCGGGAAUGUUUACAGUGAGCUCAGCUUACACAGUUUUACAAGGAGAUAUGAGGGAACCACCACAUAGACUUUAUCAUAAAUUAUGGUCACUCAAAUGUGCUACCGCUGGCUGGAAAAUUCUACUAGAUAGAGUUCAGUAGAUUGGUGCGUGUUUUCCUUCUGUUUUUGGCCUUGGGUCCCUUGCUUGGUGGUUUAAAAGGAGGGACAUGGUGGGAGGUCUUCUUCACUAGUUGCCUGUGAUUAUUUGCCCUGGCUAAUGGGUUAGAAUCUGAAUUGUUUUGUUCUGUUUUUCUAAAGGCCUAUACUCUGUUAGUGUAGGGCCUUAGAUUAUAUUCUCUUUUCAUUUUACAUUUGUACCAAGGGUUGGAAUGCCCAUUGUACUCUACUUUCUAUUAUUAAUAACACUUUGGUUUAUCAAAACAAAAUUGUUGUUGAAA